RNAcentral lists this ribosomal RNA (570 nucleotides) under uncultured bacterium. RNAcentral's name for it is "bacterial SSU rRNA". It matches the Rfam family "Bacterial small subunit ribosomal RNA", at positions 1 to 567 of the family's 1533-position model. The record is from RNAcentral.
AGGGAGUUUGAUCAUGGCUCAGAUUGAACGCUGGCGGCAGGCUUAACACAUGCAAGUCGAGCGGUAACAUUUCUAGCUUGCUAGAAGAUGACGAGCGGCGGACGGGUGAGUAACGCGUAGGAAUCUACCAAGUAGUGGGGGAUAGCCCGGAGAAAUCCGGAUUAAUACCGCAUACGCCCUACGGGGGAAAGGAGGGGAUCUUCGGACCUUUCGCUAUUUGAUGAGCCUGCGUGAGAUUAGCUAGUUGGUGGGGUAAAGGCUCACCAAGGCGACGAUCUCUAGCUGGUUUGAGAGGAUGACCAGCCACACUGGGACUGAGACACGGCCCAGACUCCUACGGGAGGCAGCAGUGGGGAAUAUUGCACAAUGGGCGCAAGCCUGAUGCAGCCAUGCCGCGUGUGUGAAGAAGGCCUUCGGGUUGUAAAGCACUUUCAGCGAGGAGGAAAGGAAUGUGGUUAAUACCCACGUUCUGUGACGUUACUCGCAGAAGAAGCACCGGCUAACUCCGUGCCAGCAGCCGCGGUAAUACGGAGGGUGCGAGCGUUAAUCGGAAUUACUGGGCGUAAAGCG